UUCAAUUUGGCAGAAUAGUGUGAUAAAUUUAGAAUUUAUUUAUGAUAAAUAAAUUAUCAAUUGAAA
This 66-nucleotide transfer RNA is filed under the name Amblyomma testudinarium. RNAcentral describes it as "tRNA-Leu". The record is from RNAcentral. Lineage: Eukaryota; Metazoa; Arthropoda; Arachnida; Ixodida; Ixodidae.